GCGAUGGUGGUGUAGUUGGUUUAUCACGUCAGUCUAACAAAUUAAUGCAAGAAAUUGCCGCAGAUUGCAGCAAGAAGCAGCUCUUGUUAGGUCACUGAAGGUCCUGGGUUCAAGUCCCGGCCGUCGUA
This 128-nucleotide transfer RNA is filed under the name Macrophomina phaseolina. RNAcentral's name for it is "tRNA-Val". It matches the Rfam family "tRNA". From Rfam's summary of the family: Transfer RNA (tRNA) molecules are approximately 80 nucleotides in length. Their secondary structure includes four short double-helical elements and three loops (D, anti-codon, and T loops). RNAcentral also lists the same sequence under 1 other name. The record is from RNAcentral. Lineage: Eukaryota; Fungi; Ascomycota; Dothideomycetes; Botryosphaeriales; Botryosphaeriaceae.